Molecule: ribosomal RNA, 497 nt
Filed under: uncultured bacterium
Lineage: Bacteria
Description: partial 16S ribosomal RNA
Rfam family: Bacterial small subunit ribosomal RNA
Source: RNAcentral
GAUGAACGCUGGCGGCGUGCCUAAUACAUGCAAGUCGAGCGAACAGACGAGGAGCUUGCUCCUCUGACGUUAGCGGCGGACGGGUGAGUAACACGUGGAUAACCUACCUAUAAGACUGGGAUAACUUCGGGAAACCGGAGCUAAUACCGGAUAAUAUAUUGAACCGCAUGGUUCAAUAGUGAAAGACGGUUUUGCUGUCACUUAUAGAUGGAUCCGCGCCGCAUUAGCUAGUUGGUAAGGUAACGGCUUACCAAGGCGACGAUGCGUAGCCGACCUGAGAGGGUGAGCGGCCACACUGGAACUGAGACACGGUCCAGACUCCUACGGGAGGCAGCAGUAGGGAAUCUUCCGCAAUGGGCGAAAGCUUGACGGAGCAACGCCGCGUGAGUGAUGAAGGUCUUCGGAUCGUAAAACUCUGUUAUUAGGGAAGAACAAAUGUGUAAGUAACUAUGCACGUCUUGACGGUACCUAAUCAGAAAGCCACGGCUAACUACGUG